Molecule: ribosomal RNA, 84 nt
Filed under: Faecalibacterium sp. An58
Lineage: Bacteria; Bacillati; Bacillota; Clostridia; Eubacteriales; Oscillospiraceae
Description: partial 16S ribosomal RNA
Rfam family: Bacterial small subunit ribosomal RNA
Source: RNAcentral
AUUUUAUAAAGAGUUUGAUCCUGGCUCAGGACGAACGCUGGCGGCGCGCCUAACACAUGCAAGUCGAACGGAGUUGAGAGGAGC